UACGGAGGAUGCAAGCGUUAUCCGGAUUUAUUGGGUUUAAAGGGUGCGCAGGUUGUUUGAUAAGUCAGUGGUGAAAGUCUGCCGCUUAACGGUAGGAUUGCCAUUGAUACUGUUGGACUUGAAUAUGGAUGAGGUAGGCGGAAUGUGUAGUGUAGCGGUGAAAUGCAUAGAUAUUACACAGAACACCGAUUGCGAAGGCAGCUUACUAAUCCAUCAUUGACGCUGAGGCACGAAAGCGUGGGGAUCAAACAGGA
RNAcentral lists this ribosomal RNA (254 nucleotides) under uncultured prokaryote. Its description in RNAcentral is "partial 16S ribosomal RNA". It matches the Rfam family "Bacterial small subunit ribosomal RNA", at positions 524 to 777 of the family's 1533-position model. The record is from RNAcentral.